UAGGGAAUCUUCCGCAAUGGGCGAAAGCCUGACGGAGCAACGCCGCGUGAGUGAUGAAGGUCUUCGGAUCGUAAAACUCUGUUAUUAGGGAAGAACAAAUGUGUAAGUAACUAUGCACGUCUUGACGGUACCUAAUCAGAAAGCCACGGCUAACUACGUGCCAGCAGCCGCGGUAAUACGUUGGUGGCAAGCGUUAUCCGGAAUUAUUGGGCGUAAAGCGCGCGUAGGCGGUUUUUUAAUUCUGAUGUGAAAGCCCACGGCUCAACCGUGGAGGGUCAUUGGAAACUGGAAAACUUGAGUGCAGAAGAGGAAAGUGGAAUUCCAUGUGUAGCGGUGAAAUGCGCAGAGAUAUGGAGGAACACCAGUGGCGAAGGCGACUUUCUGGUCUGUAACUGACGCUGAUGUGCGAAAGCGUGGGGAUCAAACAGG
RNAcentral lists this ribosomal RNA (429 nucleotides) under Actinomycetes bacterium. Its description in RNAcentral is "Actinobacteria bacterium partial 16S ribosomal RNA". It matches the Rfam family "Bacterial small subunit ribosomal RNA", at positions 355 to 776 of the family's 1533-position model. Lineage: Bacteria; Bacillati; Actinomycetota; Actinomycetes. The record is from RNAcentral.